UGACCAAACAUCAACAACAAUAUUAACGCCAACAGGAACAUCAACACGAGCAUUAACAGGCCAAACAUCCACAACAUUAUCACCAACAUCAACACCAACAUCCAAUAACAACCCAGUAAUGAACAUUACAUCAGCCACAUCAUCCCAAAGUAUAGGCUCAGACAGUAGAACCAAUGUCAUUGUGGGCGUGACAGUUUCUCUUGGCCUGCUUGUCAUUCUGUGUGUUGUCAUCUUCGUCAGCAUCAAGUGGAUCUAUCGUGGGAAGGCUAGAAAUCACAGCGUGAAGGUGCAACCUUUGAUGGAGUAGGCACGCCCGGCCUUAUGUAACCAGCCAGCCAAGACUCGCUAGGAUCUGAGGAUUUUCUUGGACGUUCGCUCUGUGAUACGUGUUAAAAGAGAAUCAAAAUGCAACCUGCGGCGCCCUCUUCUGACCAAUUUAUAAAGAUACUUUAAUAUUUUAAGCAAUUGAAUA
Long non-coding RNA from Physella acuta, 472 nucleotides. RefSeq lists it as uncharacterized. The record is from RefSeq and is a predicted model, not a curated record. NCBI's taxonomy places the organism in Eukaryota, Metazoa, Mollusca, Gastropoda, Physidae.